This 335-nucleotide unclassified non-coding RNA is filed under the name soil metagenome. RNAcentral describes it as "partial contains 5.8S ribosomal RNA, internal transcribed spacer 2, and large subunit ribosomal RNA". The stretch from base 1 to 120 matches the Rfam family "5.8S ribosomal RNA", at positions 35 to 154 of the family's 154-position model. The record is from RNAcentral.
GAUGAAGAACGCAGCGAAAUGCGAUAAGUAGUGUGAAUUGCAGAAUUCAGUGAAUCAUCGAAUCUUUGAACGCACAUUGCGCCCGCCAGUAUUCUGGCGGGCAUGCCUGUUCGAGCGUCAUUUCAACCAUCAAGCCCCAGGCUUGUGUUGGGGACCUGCGGCUGCCGCAGGCCCUGAAAACCAGUGGCGGGCUCGCUGUCACACCGGGCGUAGUAGAUUUUAUCUCGCUCAGGGCGUGCUGCGGGUUCCGGCCGUUAAAAAGCCUUUUUUACCCAAGGUUGACCUCGGAUCAGGUAGGAAGACCCGCUGAACUUAAGCAUAUCAAUAAGCGGAGA